ACAAAGUUUGAGAAAUUACAGAUUAAAUCAGCCUGAAAUUUUCAUUUUUUGCUUAAUUUUUUUGGAAGGUUCAAAAGCUAAGUGAUGGAAUGGAUUGUACCUGGAGCAGGAGCUGGAGCACCUGUAGCAGCUGCAAAGGAAAUCAUGAAGGAAAGUGUGAACUUCUGAUCACUUUAGGAAAACAUAGAUGAAAUAGCAUUUCCUAAAUCUGAUGUAACUUUUUACCUUUGCAUUGGAGAGGGACACCGGGCAUGUUGCAAGCGCGAGGGAGAGAGAUGGCCAAGGUUCUGUUGAUGGGAAUCUGGAAAGGUAGAGCUCCAGUGAUGGCAAGGCAAAGGCAGUCUGUGCUGGUGGAAGUGAGGUUCUUAAGGGAACUGCAGCAGUCUGCAGGUGGGGUGGUGCCAUUGUUAGUGAGGAAACUCAUGCAAGGGCUGAGU
Molecule: long non-coding RNA, 437 nt
Filed under: Linum usitatissimum (flax)
Lineage: Eukaryota; Viridiplantae; Streptophyta; Magnoliopsida; Malpighiales; Linaceae
Description: long non-coding RNA (LUSI_LNC004697)
Source: RNAcentral